UCCGGUUUGUCACCGGCAGUCUCCUAUGAGUCCCCAACUGAAUGCUGGCAACAUAGGACGGGGGUUGCGCUCGUUGCGGGACUCAACCCAACAUCUCACGACACGAGCUGACGACAGCCAUGCACCACCUGUAUUCCUGCCCCGAAGGGAGGACGUGUUUCCACGCCGGUCAGGAGUAUGUCAAGUCCAGGUAAGGUUCUUCGCGUUGCGUCGAAUUAAUCCACAUGCUCCGCUGCUUGUGCGGGUCCCCGUCAAUUCCUUUGAGUUUUAGCCUUGCGGCCGUACUCCCCAGGCGGGACACUUAACGCGUUAGCUACGACACGGAGGGAGUCGACACCCCCCACAUCUAGUGUCCAUCGUUUACGGCGUGGACUAC
RNAcentral lists this unclassified non-coding RNA (376 nucleotides) under uncultured Solirubrobacterales bacterium. RNAcentral's name for it is "contains 16S-23S intergenic spacer region". The record is from RNAcentral. Lineage: Bacteria; Bacillati; Actinomycetota; Thermoleophilia; Solirubrobacterales.